AUUGAACGCUGGCGGAAUGCUUUACACAUGCAAGUCGAACGGCAGCACGGACUUCGGUCUGGUGGCGAGUGGCGAACGGGUGAGUAAUACAUCGGAACGUGCCCAGUCGUGGGGAUAACGUAGCGAAAGCUACGCUAAUACCGCAUACGAUCUAAGGAUGAAAGCGGGGGAUCGCAAGACCUCGCGCGAUUGGAGCGGCCGAUGGCAGAUUAGGUAGUUGGUGGGGUAAAGGCUCACCAAGCCGACGAUCUGUAGCUGGUCUGAGAGGACGACCAGCCACACUGGGACUGGGACACGGCCCAGACUCCUACGGGAGGCAGCAGUGGGGAAUUUUGGACAAUGGGCGCAAGCCUGAUCCAGCCAUUCCGCGUGCAGGAUGAAGGCCCUCGGGUUGUAAGCUGCUUUUGUACGGAAUGAAAAGGCUCUGGUUAAUACCCGGGGCUCAUGACGGUACCGUAAGAAUAAGCACCGGCUAACUACGUGCCAGCCGCCGCCGUAA
Molecule: ribosomal RNA, 499 nt
Filed under: uncultured bacterium
Lineage: Bacteria
Description: partial 16S ribosomal RNA
Rfam family: Bacterial small subunit ribosomal RNA
Source: RNAcentral